UACGGAGGAUGCGAGCGUUAUCCGGAAUCAUUGGGUUUAAAGGGUCCGUAGGCGGGCUGAUAAGUCAGAGGUGAAAGCGCUUAGCUCAACUAAGCAACUGCCUUUGAAACUGUCAGUCUUGAAUGAUUGUGAAGUAGUUGGAAUGUGUAGUGUAGCGGUGAAAUGCUUAGAUAUUACACAGAACACCGAUAGCGAAGGCAUAUUACUAACAAUUUAUUGACGCUGAUGGACGAAAGCGUGGGGAGCGAAC
This 250-nucleotide ribosomal RNA is filed under the name uncultured Capnocytophaga sp. RNAcentral describes it as "partial 16S ribosomal RNA". It matches the Rfam family "Bacterial small subunit ribosomal RNA", at positions 524 to 773 of the family's 1533-position model. Lineage: Bacteria; Pseudomonadati; Bacteroidota; Flavobacteriia; Flavobacteriales; Flavobacteriaceae. The record is from RNAcentral.